Molecule: ribosomal RNA, 401 nt
Filed under: uncultured bacterium
Lineage: Bacteria
Description: bacterial SSU rRNA
Rfam family: Bacterial small subunit ribosomal RNA
Source: RNAcentral
CAGGCCUUGACAUCCCUAUGACGCAGGAGUAAUAUUCUGUUCCCUUCGGGGCAUAGGAGACAGGUGGUGCAUGGUUGUCGUCAGCUCGUGUCGUGAGAUGUUGGGUCAAGUCCCGCAACGAGCGCAACCCCUGUUCUCAGUAGCCAGCAGGUAAAGCUGGGCACUCUGAGGAGACUGCCGGGGAUAACCCGGAGGAAGGCGGGGAGGACGUCAAAUCAUCAUGCCCCUUAUGGUCUGGGCUACACACGUGCUACAAUGGCGCGGACAAAGGGAAGCGAGCGCGCGAGCGUAAGCGAAGCCCAAAAACAGCGUCCCAGUUCGGACUGCAGCCUGCAACUCGGCUGCAGGAAGCCGGAAUCGCUAGUAAUCGCGGAUCAGAAUGCCGCGGUGAAUACGUUCCC